GGUUCUACCUUAAAGUGGCAUUGCUUCAAAGGAAAAAACAGUGGAGAGCUAACCACUUAUCACAUGAUCUCGCACUAACCAAAUCCUAUCUAUUAAGACUCUUUUUGGCUCCUACAAUUCACAGUGAUCUUAUUUUAGUUGUCUCCGUUCUCCAAGGUUCUUGUUAGCAAUGUAAUAUAAAAACAACUAUUAUUGGCACAGUUUGUGCUCUAGAAUUUGACCUUUGUUGUCCCAAUAAAAGUAAAAUUUCAAGUUUCAAUACAAGGUAAACUGGACUUUAGACUAUCGUCUAUCCACACUUCAAGCUCAAAGGAUUCUUGUCAAUGGGGCAUUAGACCAAGAUCAAACAAGAAUUGACAACUAAGAUUGACAGCGAGAACAACAACAUGAAGUACUUUCAGUUCAAGAAUAGAGGCAUACCCCCAGCCUAAAUGCAGUCCCCCGAUUCCGACAAUCUUCAGCCAAUAUUUUAGUAGCACUCAAGGCUUC
Molecule: long non-coding RNA, 489 nt
Filed under: Trifolium pratense (red clover)
Lineage: Eukaryota; Viridiplantae; Streptophyta; Magnoliopsida; Fabales; Fabaceae
Description: long non-coding RNA (TPRA_LNC001051)
Source: RNAcentral